UUUGGCCAAAUCAAUCACAACCAAUCUACAAUUCCAGCACACAUAGCUUUGAAAGCAUUUUAUUGAGCAAUAGAAGUCUUUUCCUCCCAUCUUUAGUGAGUUAGAGUAAAUACUCAUUUUGCUUUUUGAAUCCGUCAACGGAUUUGGGUGUAAGGCUGACGUAAGGCCAAGAGAGUGCAAAUUUGGCGCCUAAGGCCACCGGCAUAGCGUGGGAACAAAUCGGGCGGUGACACUUUGCUGCCUUCUUUUGCUCUUCAUUCAUUUUUUGGAACUAAGGUGAGGCUGUUUAAUAAUUAAUCUUGAUUAAUUACCAAAUAGUUUCAGUUUAGUUUUUUUUUCCAUCAAAAUUAAUAUAUAUGACUUAUGCCUCCUAUUAUUCUCAUAAUACCCAAUAACUCUGUUAAAAACAUAAUUUCAUAGUAUUACUUUCAUUUGCAAAUAAUACAUUUUAUUAAUGUUCAUUAUAAAUUAAGUAAAUCGUAUAAAUAAAAAUAAAAAUAAAAAGUUCAAAUAUUAAAAAUAAGAAAUAUAAGUUAUAAAUUAAGUAAAUCAUAUAAAUUAAAAUAAAAAAUUCAAAUAUUGAAAAUAAGAAAUAUACGUUUUAGUGUGAAUAAAAGAAUAUAUAAUAAGAAAAUUUUCUUGUAGUUUUUGUUAUUUUUUAAACAAUUUUUUUCUUAUAAUAAAUAUAUAUUUUAUAUUCCCAAGAUCAAAUAUUAAAUAAAUGAUCUAUUUAUCUCUCUUUUCUUAUAAAGUAAGAAUAAGUGAUAUAUAUUAAUUUUAGUAGUAGGAAAAUUGACGAUCUCUCAAUUUUUUUAAACAAGUUGAGUAGAGAAUUUGAAUCCUUUCAAUAAUAGACGGUUUCAAAGAGUUUUAAAAUUUAAGAAGAGGAAAUAAUUAUUUUACUGAAACAACCAGAGGUUUUUGAUCAUUUUUUACAAAACGAAUCAUUUAUGGUAUCUGUUAUUUAAAGUUGCCUUGUCUGCUCAAAAGAACGAAGCUGAAACCGAGCUGUGGCUCGCUCAUAAUUAUCAUCAGUUGGCAGCAAUGGAUUUUCAGGCCAUGUUUCUUCGAUCUAUUCAAGGAUAAUAAGCGAUUCACAGAUGGGAUUUACACCAUGAACAAGUAGAGGAAUUCUUUUGUGAACAGGAUUACAUAUGUUUUAAGAGCAAUUCACUUAACUGUUAGGAAGAUUUUCCUCUAUUUAUUCAUCAUAUAAACACCCAUGGGCUUCAGUACCCCCAUCACUCUGUGGCCAAGAGGACUAGCCCAAAAUCCAUGCAGCUUCACUUCUUCCAUUGUUGCCAGUUAUGAGUUAUAUAUAUAUCAAAGUGAGAAUGUCAUAAAGAAUAAAAAUAAUACAUAUUUUAAUAUGCUAUUAGUUAAAAAAAAUAUAAUUUUUAAAGUAUUAAAAUUUGUGUUUUUUAUAUUUAAAGUAAAGAUUUUCACACUCUAUAUAUAUGUGGGGUCAAUGCUCAUAAUUUAAUGGGGUUGUAUCUCUUUCCUUUUUUUUUUUUAACUUAGAGCAAUAAGUUUCAUUUUUUAAAAUUCUGCAUUUGGCUUUGCUGUGUAUGCAUGCUCUAAUUGACGGUGCCUGUACAACAAUGUCAAACACAUGAUCAUUAAUUUAAUGGGGUUGUGGACCAUUUUCUUUGCUUGUGCAAAAGGUUGCAAAGACAAUGGCAAAUCAUUUUUUAGAAUCAGUUGUCUUAAUAUUGAAUUUUUUUUUUCAACCAAUCUUAAAAUUAGAAUUUAAAAAAUGAAAAUAACGAAAAUGUAUUUGAUAUUUGAAUAUUAUAUUAUUAAAAAAAUUAAUUAGAAGAACAAAACAUGUAUGGGCAGCGGAGUGGGUACCUUUUUUUAAAAUUCUUAUCACGAGAUUUUACUUACUUUAAUUGUGCAAAUAAGACUUUGUUUUAAUCAUUUCUUUUUUUCUUUUAGAUGUGUGGCCUAGUUGAGAUAUGACAAAUUUUCAUCUUUGUUUCCAAAUUCCAACUUAUCUUCACACAAAACAAAAAUAGAACUGUAAUUAGAACAAACAAGUGUUUUUUCUUACUGAUCAGUACUGCCGACUGAGGUCUACCAAAAAUUUAUCAAAAAGGGUGGCAAAUAACCACCAAAAACAAGUCAUUUUGAUUGUUUAAAAAAACUAGAAAAAAAAAACUAUGUAGUUUUGAUGGUUAUUUUGUCACUCUUUUGUAAUGUUGUUAGGAGGAAAAAUAAAAAUAAAAAUAAAAAUAAAUUUAGUCACUUUUAUUAUUUCCUGUCCAUAAAAAAAUUACGAGUAAGCUCGUCUUAAUACUUGGCAGUCAAAUUCAGCAAAGUGUAAAGAAUUCUUUGACAACAAUUAAUGCAAAAACAGAACAAGUACAAAGCAACACUAACAAACAAAUUUUAUGAUACUACAAUAUUCACUGUUCACGCAGGCGCGGCUAACUUUUCCCGACAACAUUUGAAAUAGACCAACAUCUUCUCCCGUUUUUCUUCAAUUUCAGGGACUUGAUAGAUAUUUUUAAGCGACAUGAUUAAUAGUAUAUAUGGUGGGGAUAUUUCCACCCCAUUGACACACCUCACUUUUAAAAAAUAUUUACAAUAAAUACACAUUAUUUCUAGUAAAUAUAAAUCAACAAAAAUAUUUAUAUAAUUAAUCAAUUAAAUCACUCUUACAUUUUUUUUUUAAUUAUUAAGGUUG
This 2689-nucleotide long non-coding RNA is filed under the name Citrus maxima (pomelo). RNAcentral describes it as "long non-coding RNA (CMAX_LNC003696)". Lineage: Eukaryota; Viridiplantae; Streptophyta; Magnoliopsida; Sapindales; Rutaceae. The record is from RNAcentral.